Molecule: unclassified non-coding RNA, 263 nt
Filed under: plant metagenome
Description: partial contains small subunit ribosomal RNA, internal transcribed spacer 1, and 5.8S ribosomal RNA
Source: RNAcentral
UUUCCGUAGGUGAACCUGCGGAAGGAUCAUUAUUGUAUAACCGAGGUGCGAGGGCUGUCGCUGACCCGAAAGGUCGUGCACGCCCGAGUGCCCUCAAACACAUCCAUCUCACCCCUAUGUGCACCACCGCGUGGGUCCCCCUUUGGCUUGUUCGGAGGGGGGCUUACGUUUUCACACAAACUUUGUAUGCAGUGUAGAAUGUAUUUUUUGUUUUUGCGAUCACGCAAUCAAUACAACUUUCAACAACGGAUCUCUUGGCUCUC